Molecule: ribosomal RNA, 449 nt
Filed under: uncultured bacterium
Lineage: Bacteria
Description: partial 16S ribosomal RNA
Rfam family: Bacterial small subunit ribosomal RNA
Source: RNAcentral
AACGAACGCUGGCGGCAGGCCUAACACAUGCAAGUCGAACGCUCCAGCAAUGGAGAGUGGCAGACGGGUGAGUAACGCGUGGGAACCUUCCCUAUGGUUCGGAAUAGCCCAGGGAAACUUGGGGUAAUACCGAAUAAGCCCUUCGGGGGAAAGAUUUAUCGCCAUUGGAUGGGCCCGCGUCGGAUUAGCUAGUUGGUGGGGUAACGGCCUACCAAGGCGACGAUCCGUAGCUGGUCUGAGAGGAUGAUCAGCCACACUGGGACUGAGACACGGCCCAGACUCCUACGGGAGGCAGCAGUGGGGAGUAUUGGACAAUGGGCGAAAGCCUGAUCCAGCAAUGCCGCGUGAGUGAUGAAGGCCUUAGGGUUGUAAAGCUCUUUUACCCGGGAUGAUAAUGACAGUACCGGGAGAAUAAGCUCCGGCUAACUCCGUGCCAGCCGCCGCAGUAA